RNAcentral lists this ribosomal RNA (1362 nucleotides) under Campylobacter jejuni subsp. jejuni 81-176-UMCW7. RNAcentral's name for it is "bacterial LSU rRNA". It matches the Rfam family "Bacterial large subunit ribosomal RNA", at positions 1574 to 2925 of the family's 2925-position model. The record is from RNAcentral. Lineage: Bacteria; Pseudomonadati; Campylobacterota; Epsilonproteobacteria; Campylobacterales; Campylobacteraceae.
UCGGAUGGAUAGAAGAACCCCUGAUGCCGUCGAGCCAAGAAAAGUUUCUAAGUUUAGCUAAUGUUGCCCGUACCGUAAACCGACACAGGUGGGUGGGAUGAGUAUUCUAAGGCGCGUGGAAGAACUCUCUUUAAGGAACUCUGCAAAAUAGCACCGUAUCUUCGGUAUAAGGUGUGGUUAGCUUCGUACUAGGAUUUACUCCGAAAGCGAAGAAACUUACAACAAAGAGUCCCUCCCGACUGUUUACCAAAAACACAGCACUCUGCUAACUCGUAAGAGGAUGUAUAGGGUGUGACGCCUGCCCGGUGCUCGAAGGUUAAUUGAUGGGGUUAGCAUUAGCGAAGCUCUUGAUCGAAGCCCGAGUAAACGGCGGCCGUAACUAUAACGGUCCUAAGGUAGCGAAAUUCCUUGUCGGUUAAAUACCGACCUGCAUGAAUGGCGUAACGAGAUGGGAGCUGUCUCAAAGAGGGAUCCAGUGAAAUUGUAGUGGAGGUGAAAAUUCCUCCUACCCGCGGCAAGACGGAAAGACCCCGUGGACCUUUACUACAGCUUGACACUGCUAUUUGGAUAAGAAUGUGCAGGAUAGGUGGGAGGCUUUGAGUAUAUGACGCCAGUUGUAUAGGAGCCAUUGUUGAGAUACCACUCUUUCUUAUUUGGGUAGCUAACCAGCUUGAGUUAUCCUCAAGUGGGACAAUGUCUGGUGGGUAGUUUGACUGGGGCGGUCGCCUCCCAAAUAAUAACGGAGGCUUACAAAGGUUGGCUCAGAACGGUUGGAAAUCGUUCAUAGAGUAUAAAGGUAUAAGCCAGCUUAACUGCAAGACAUACAAGUCAAGCAGAGACGAAAGUCGGUCUUAGUGAUCCGGUGGUUCUGUGUGGAAGGGCCAUCGCUCAAAGGAUAAAAGGUACCCCGGGGAUAACAGGCUGAUCUCCCCCAAGAGCUCACAUCGACGGGGAGGUUUGGCACCUCGAUGUCGGCUCAUCGCAUCCUGGGGCUGGAGCAGGUCCCAAGGGUAUGGCUGUUCGCCAUUUAAAGCGGUACGCGAGCUGGGUUCAGAACGUCGUGAGACAGUUCGGUCCCUAUCUGCCGUGGGCGUAAGAAGAUUGAAGAGAUUUGACCCUAGUACGAGAGGACCGGGUUGAACAAACCACUGGUGUAGCUGUUGUUCUGCCAAGAGCAUCGCAGCGUAGCUAAGUUUGGAAAGGAUAAACGCUGAAAGCAUCUAAGCGUGAAGCCAACUCUAAGAUGAAUCUUCUCUAAGCUCUCUAGAAGACUACUAGUUUGAUAGGCUGGGUGUGUAAUGGAUGAAAGUCCUUUAGCUGACCAGUACUAAUAGAGCGUUUGGCUUAUCUUUAAUAAAGCAU